Molecule: ribosomal RNA, 207 nt
Filed under: uncultured bacterium
Lineage: Bacteria
Description: partial 16S ribosomal RNA
Rfam family: Bacterial small subunit ribosomal RNA
Source: RNAcentral
CGCGUAGGCGGCCUUAUAAGUCAGAUGUGAAAGCCCACGGCUCAACUGUGGAAGUGCAUUUGAAACUGUCUGGCUUGAGUAUCGGAGGGGAGUGUGGAAUUCCCGGUGUAGAGGUGAAAUUCGUAGAGAUCGGGAGGAACACCGGUGGCGAAGGCGACACUCUGGACGAAUACUGGCGCUGAGGCGCGAAAGCGUGGGGAGCAAACA